Molecule: long non-coding RNA, 1614 nt
Organism: Cydia fagiglandana
Lineage: Eukaryota; Metazoa; Arthropoda; Insecta; Lepidoptera; Tortricidae
Exons: 4
Source: RefSeq, a predicted model, not a curated record
GCCACUCUUUUCACAGGGCAAUAAUGUACGACCCCAUAAUUCGCGUCCAAUAAUUUGAGUCCCUUGGCUUUCAAUUAUUGGGCUGCGCAUUAUUGGUACAGGUCGAGAAAGCCCGACCCAAUAAUGUACGACCCAAUAAUAGGAAGCCAAAAACCAGAGAGAUUCUUUUUUUUAAGGGAGCUGUCAAAAUUAGUAGGGACGUUCUGACAUUAGCUCUUGACAAUUUAAAAAUAAUCGGUUUUUUCUAGUGCCAUCUUUCAGUGACAUUGACAGUAUUGUAUUGACACUUGUUGGUUUACAAAUACAAUAAAAUGAAUUCUAAUAAAAGAAACAGUAGACUCAGUAGAGGUACGAGGUACUGAAAAAAUAUUAAUUAAUGGAGAAGCCGAAGUUGGAGGAAAACAAGAAGAUUCGAGGAGAAUGGUGUGGCACUUAAUGCCGCCGGGACAGUAACCUAGCUGCAGCUCCAACUCUAGGGAAUUGGGCUGAAUGAACGCAACACGUGAUCGACAGCCCACCUGCUUCCUGCCGAGCGUCCCUACACUACAUCUACAUGGAUUCGCUUAUUCUGCUCUACAAAACUUCUAAAACAAUACAAAUAAUACAGGAAGAAGAGAUUAAACAACAGGCGGUCUUAUCGCUAAAAAGCGAUCUCUUCCAGACAACCUUACUACUUUUGAGGAGCUGAUACAAGCAGCCAGAAUGAGUCUCUGCUGAGUCGCCGGCGCCGGACGUGCGUCGCGCGCCUCGGGCGACUGACGUCUUCGUGUGAGUCGCCAAUUGCAGGGGAAGAUACGAAUAGUUAGGUAUAAAAGCUACUUUAGUCAACCUCGCCUCAGUACUGUUUGUAUUGACUGAAAUACAAGUAGCAUAUAUGAGACGUUCGGACGUAUCCGUGAAAAUACGAAGGUAAAGGAAAUUGCACUACAUUUUUAGAACCUAUUCACCUGUCAGUAAAAUAUUGAAAAGGAAAGUUCAUGAGUUUUAUUAUUUUCUUUCCUCCAACAGCUUCACAUGGAGCAAAUGUAAACCUUUUAUGUUAAUAAAUAUCAGUAAUGUCAAGGUACAACGCUCUUUAGAGCAUAUUGCCAUUCCUUUUACUCGAGUGGCCUGUGGGUUAACUAUACGAAGCGAGCCUACGAUGCAUUAAAAGUGCAGUAUAACAAUGCAUUCAGAAUGCUGUUGGGCUUACCUCGUAGAUGUAGUGCAUCUGGCAUGUUUUGCGAAGCUAGAAGUUUUCUGGCAAUCAUGCGCAAGAAAAUAGUAUCUCUGCUAGGUCGAGUUAGAAGCAGUCCCAAACAUACAUGUUCGAAAAGUAGAACUCCCUUAGUAGGCCAAGCAAUAAGAAGUUAUAGAGGGAAAUGCUAGGAACACAAUUUUUGACUACGUAACUUUGUUUGGACUAGUUAGGAGGUGAACAUAUCAAAAGUCCCCGGCUGUAGCCCCGGUGCUGGGGGGUAGACUAGUUAUAGUCCAAACAAAGUUACGGAGUCAAAAACUGUGUUCCUAGCAUUUCCCUCUACAACGUUUUUUGAGCAUUCAUUUCCUGACCUAUAGAUCGUGUUUCAAUUUAUCGCCUCUCGUUGGCAAUUAAGGUGGUUCGCUUUCCAUACA